RNAcentral lists this long non-coding RNA (1445 nucleotides) under Solanum tuberosum (potato). RNAcentral describes it as "long non-coding RNA (STUB_LNC005277)". The stretch from base 113 to 208 matches the Rfam family "Small nucleolar RNA Z161/Z228". Lineage: Eukaryota; Viridiplantae; Streptophyta; Magnoliopsida; Solanales; Solanaceae. The record is from RNAcentral.
UUUAUCAAUGGUGGAAAUUUUGUCUAUUUGAGUAUCAGAGCUUGAAAAUCUUCUGUUUUUGUUUGAAUUUCAUGUUUUUGUUUUGAUUCAAUUUUAUAUCUGUGAAUAUGUGAAGCCGCUUGAUGAUUUUUGGAUAAUAUUCUCACGACGGUCGUCUGAGGUACAUUCAUGUGCCUAACUGAUGAUAGAUCCAAUUUUUCUGAUGGUUUCUUCUUCUUUUAUGUUAUAGAAACCUUCAAUUACUAUUGAUUUUCAGAUUUGUGAUUCUUCGGAGCAAGCAUAAUGAUGAUGCUAAAUUUAUUCCGACUAUUCAUGAAAGGAAUACCAACCUCCUACUCAUUCUGAAUGCUUGCCUUUUUCUAAUUUUUAACUCUUAUUUGCAAAUUUAAACUGUUUUUGAUAUGUUUUAUUUAAGUCUGUGAAUCUAUCGGAACUCUAUGAUUUUGGCACGAUGAGGAUAAGUGUUCAUGAGACCGAAAGGUCAUUGAUAUCAUAAAAAAUUAACAAUUAGUCCUUUUCAUUCUGAGUGCUUUUUAAUUGUUCAUAAUAAAUCAUAAAAAUCCUUUUUUGUACAUUUUGAUUUGGUUAUGUUUUAUAAUGCAAGUUGUUUUGGUGAAUUAGAGAAGUAAGGGUCUGAAGUUUGACUCUUUGGCAACUUAUGCCUCAGGGAUGAAUGCAGCACCCUAUAUCAAUAUUCCUCUUGUUGAAAUUAUUGUGGGCUUUUUUGAUAAACCUGCUACAACAUCUUCGAGGGAAACACUUCAAUUAUACAUCAAGUACUAUUGUUGCACUCACUAUUUUCACGAGGUAGGGGUAACGUCUGUGUAUGUUGUGAUAUUUAGGUACCGUAUGAUGAUUUUUGGAUUAAAAUUCUCACGAUGGUCAUCUGAGGUACUUUUGUGUGCCUAACUGAUGAAACAUCCGAAUUUCCUGAUGGUCCUUUAUUUUAUUUUGUUAGAUUAAGAGCUUUGCUGUUUUUUUCGUUUAAAUUUUGUUAUAUUUAUGGUGGGAUCGAGCAUAAUGAUGAUUCAAAAUAUUUUCCGAUUUGUUCAUGAAAGGAAUACCAACCUCCUACUCAUUCUGAAUGCUCGAGUUUUCCUCUUAGCUUUGUUUUCCCUGUUUUUGUUUCCUAUUGGAUUCGAAAUCUUCACAUGCUUUUUUACUAUGCUUUGUAACUUGCUGUGUACAUAGUCUACAAAGUGAGUACUUUGCCUCAACGUCGGAUUUCCAACACAUUUAGUCGGCUCCAAUGUGGAUUGUUGCUUAAUUCUUGACUUGAAUUCGGAUUGUGUCUUAUGGAAACACUACUUAAAAUGUACUGUAUCAACUAUACUAGUGAAAUUUGCCCACACUGAAUAUGUAUCAUUGUGGGUAGUAUCAAUAUUAAUAGGGAAAAGGCUCAAAUAUGCCAUCGAACUUUUAGAAAUGGCUCAUUUAUGCCAUCC